AAUAUUCAGACCACCCAGAUGAAAUGUCAUGGCAAAUUUGAUAAAAACCAAGAGGGAGUGAAACUGACGCUGGGGGAGGAAAGGGUCAAGUCGAGGGAAGGACACCAUCACUCCAGAGACAGUAUGGUAACAAAGGGACAGGAAUGGUCCAGGCCAGCUUCAGGCUCUUCAGAAGCCAGAGAGAUGUCCAAGUCUACCAA
RNAcentral lists this long non-coding RNA (200 nucleotides) under Homo sapiens (human). RNAcentral's name for it is "HSALNT0029288". Lineage: Eukaryota; Metazoa; Chordata; Mammalia; Primates; Hominidae. The record is from RNAcentral.